AACGAACGCUGGCGGCGUGCUUAACACAUGCAAGUCGAACGAUGAACCCGGAGCUUGCUCCGGUGGAUUAGUGGCGAACGGGUGAGAAACACGUGAGCAAUCUGCCCUUGACUCUGGGAUAACUGCGGGAAACUGUAGCUAAUACCGGAUACUUUCACUGGAAGGCAUCUUCUGGUGAAGAAAGAAUUUCGGUCAAGGAUGAGCUCGCGGCCUAUCAGCUUGUUGGUGAGGUAACGGCUCACCAAGGCGACGACGGGUAGCCGGCCUGAGAGGGUGACCGGCCACACUGGGACUGAGACACGGCCCAGACUCCUACGGGAGGCAGCAGUGGGGAAUAUUGCACAAUGGGCGCAAGCCUGAUGCAGCAACGCCGCGUGAGGGAUGAAGGCCUUCGGGUUGUAAACCUCUUUUAGCAGGGAAGAAGCGAAAGUGACGGUACCUGCAGAAAAAGCACCGGCUAACUACGUGCCAGCCGCCGCAGUAA
RNAcentral lists this ribosomal RNA (484 nucleotides) under uncultured bacterium. Its description in RNAcentral is "partial 16S ribosomal RNA". It matches the Rfam family "Bacterial small subunit ribosomal RNA", at positions 29 to 523 of the family's 1533-position model. The record is from RNAcentral.